GAGGCACCCAAGUGGGUCAACUGAGUUCCAUGGACGUUCCUCCCUGCUCCCAUCGUGUAACAGCAGCUCUGCCUGCUCCUGCUGAUCAAGGUCAAUUACCCAUGACAAGAAGUGGUUCCUCUUCUUGCCUGCUGGUUCCUGGCCGCACAGAACCCGGAGUGUCCAAGUGGCAGCUGUAGCUUAUAGUUCAAUGGGAUUUUUGCCAUCCUCUGCCAAGAACACACUCUUUCUGGGGACCAGGACCUCUAACCCUGCAGAAUCCAGAGCUGUGGGGACCCCUAGUGAGUCACUGAAAGUGAUGGCAUCCCUCUUUUAAGAAGCCUGACCCUAAAACAAAUGACCUUUGCCACCACCUCUUAAUAGAUGGUUCAACUGAUUUUGCAGGAACGACACCAAUAAGACUCUUCAGGAUACAAUUUCUUAGACUGCUUCAACCAAUCAGGAGAUUUCUGAUCCCUUUGAGUCAUUCAGUCGCAAAUGAUAUGAUUCAUCUUGAACAAAAUGGGGGACAGACAAUGUUUAAUUUUACCUAAACCCAGUGAUUCUGGAAAACAAGUUAAAGUUAAGAAAUUCCCCCUCUCUGUGUCCUGGAAAUCGACUUAUUGCUAAGAACCACCCUUUCCCAUAUGGCUUAGAUAAAAUUCAUGGAUGCCCCCCUUAUUUACCUAUAAUAAGGCCGGACAUAGACCCUCCAAAUUUCCAUUCUCUGUCUCAUAAAAGACUAGCUGAACUGCUUGUGCCCAUGGAAUUGGAAAGAAAGUGCUCAUUAAUCCAACUUAGGUUAAAUUUCUCUCUUCUUCUAGGCCCCUAAACUUUCACCCACCCUCAGUCUGAGACAGCAUUUGCCCCAUUUAAGGGCCCUGCUGAAAAUAGGUUGACCCCAGGGCAAAAUAUCCUUGAUCUGCUAUCCAAUCAUUCCACUCCACCCUUUCAUCCCACUUCUCCUUGUUUACUCCUCCCUGUAAGAAAAACCCUUUUUGCCCAACCUCUGAGAUCCUACAGAUCCUAUUGUCAGAGAGUUCUCCCUAUAGCAGCAGCCCCUUCCCUCCUCCCACCUUGCAUUAAUCCUUUGGAACAAAGUCUCUCCUUGCCUAAAUCUGGAUUUGUUUUUUGACACCAUAUAACUGUUUUAUUCACUUUAAAGCAGGUUAAACACAUAAUAUUUUAGUGAGGACUUUUAA
This 1181-nucleotide long non-coding RNA is filed under the name Equus asinus (donkey). RNAcentral describes it as "lncRNA (ENSEASG00005036412.1)". Lineage: Eukaryota; Metazoa; Chordata; Mammalia; Perissodactyla; Equidae. The record is from RNAcentral.